GAUGAACGCUGGCGGCGUGCCUAAUACAUGCAAGUCGAGCGAACGGACGAGAAGCUUGCUUCUCUGAUGUUAGCGGCGGACGGGUGAGUAACACGUGGAUAACCUACCUAUAAGACUGGGAUAACUUCGGGAAACCGGAGCUAAUACCGGAUAAUAUUUUGAACCGCAUGGUUCAAAAGUGAAAGACGGUCUUGCUGUCACUUAUAGAUGGAUCCGCGCUGCAUUAGCUAGUUGGUAAGGUAACGGCUUACCAAGGCAACGAUGCAUAGCCGACCUGAGAGGGUGAUCGGCCUCACUGGAACUGAGACACGGUCCAGACUCCUACGGGAGGCAGCAGUAGGGAAUCUUCCGCAAUGGGCGAAAGCCUGACGGAGCAACGCCGCGUGAGUGAUGAAGGUCUUCGGAUCGUAAAACUCUGUUAUUAGGGAAGAACAUAUGUGUAAGUAACUGUGCACAUCUUGACGGUACCUAAUCAGAAAGCCACGGCUAACUACGUG
Molecule: ribosomal RNA, 497 nt
Filed under: uncultured bacterium
Lineage: Bacteria
Description: partial 16S ribosomal RNA
Rfam family: Bacterial small subunit ribosomal RNA
Source: RNAcentral